CAGAAAGAGCUUCAGUCCACCUACUGGCAAGCAGUACAUUGACCCCAAGCGGCAUUCAGCUGUGGGCAGCAGAAUCCCCUCCACAACACCGAAACUGAGAGACAAGACUCCGAGGGCUCUGUGUCUCCAAGUACAUCAGCUGAAUCUGCUGUCCUAUAAAGCCUGCUGCCCACAGUUAC
Long non-coding RNA from Pogoniulus pusillus (Red-fronted tinkerbird), 179 nucleotides. RefSeq lists it as uncharacterized. The record is from RefSeq and is a predicted model, not a curated record. Lineage: Eukaryota; Metazoa; Chordata; Aves; Piciformes; Lybiidae. The transcript is spliced from 3 exons.